RNAcentral lists this ribosomal RNA (860 nucleotides) under uncultured archaeon. RNAcentral's name for it is "bacterial SSU rRNA". It matches the Rfam family "Archaeal small subunit ribosomal RNA", at positions 46 to 912 of the family's 1478-position model. The record is from RNAcentral.
AAGCCAUGCGAGUCAUUGUAGCAAUACAAGGCAGACGGCUCAGUAACGCGUAGUCAAUCUACCCUGUUGACGGGGAUAACCUCGGGAAACUGAGAAUAAUACCCGAUAGAACAUUAUGCCUGGAAUGGUUUAUGUUUCAAAUGAUUUAUCGCAAUAGGGUGGGACUGCGGCCUAUCAGUUUGUUGGUGAGGUAAUGGCCCACCAAGACUAUUACAGGUACGGGCUCUGAGAGGAGUGGCCCGGAGAUGGGUACUGAGACACGGACCCAGGCCCUAUGGGGCGCAGCAGGCGAGAAAACUUUGCAAUGUGCGAAAGCACGACAAGGUUAAUCCGAGUGGUUUCUGCUAAAGAAACCUUUUGUCAGUCCUAGAAACACUGAUGAAUAAGGGGUGGGCAAGUUCUGGUGUCAGCCGCCGCGGUAAAACCAGCACCUCAAGUGGUCAGGAUGAUUAUUGGGCCUAAGGCAUCCGUAGCUUGUUUUGUAAGUUUUCGGUUAAAUCCAUACGCUUAACGUAUGGGCUGCCGGGAAUACUGCAUAACUAGGAAGUGGGAGAGGUAGACGGUACUCGGUAGGAAGGGGUAAAAUCCUUUGAUCUAUUGAUGACCACCUGUGGCGAAGGCGGUCUACCAGAACACGUUCGACGGUGAGGGAUGAAAGCUGGGGGAGCAAACCGGAUUAGAUACCCGGGUAGUCCCAGCUGUAAACUAUGCAAACUCAGUGAUGCAUUGGCUUGUGGCCAAUGCAGUGCUGCAGGGAAGCCGUUAAGUUUGCCGCCUGGGAAGUACGUACGCAAGUAUGAAACUUAAAGGAAUUGGCGGGGGAGCACCACAAGGGGUGAAGCCUGCGGUUCAAUUGGAGU